Molecule: non-coding RNA, 146 nt
Filed under: Aristerostoma sp. ATCC 50986
Lineage: Eukaryota; Ciliophora; Colpodea; Cyrtolophosidida; Cyrtolophosididae
Source: RNAcentral
UAAUAAAUACCCACAACACAGAAAGAAGAAAAAGAAGAAGAAAGGAAAGAAGUGAAAGAAGAUAUCUUAAUGUACUUUUAUAGCAUAAGAAAUAUAUCCAUUAGCCUUACAUACUUUUUUGUUUUGAUAUUUUUACCUCAUUUUUU